CCUACGGGUGGCAGCAGUGGGGAAUAUUGGACAAUGGGGGGAACCCUGAUCCAGCCAUGCCGCGUGUGUGAAGAAGGCCCUCGGGUUGUAAAGCACUUUCAGUGAGGAAGAACGCCUGGUGGUUAAUACCCAUCAGGAAAGACAUCACUCACAGAAGAAGCACCGGCUAACUCCGUGCCAGCAGCCGCGGUAAUACGGAGGGGGCGAGCGUUAAUCGGAAUUACUGGGCGUAAAGCGCGCGUAGGUGGCUUGAUAAGCCGGUUGUGAAAGCCCCGGGCUCAACCUGGGAACGGCAUCCGGAACUGUCAAGCUAGAGUGCAGGAGAGGAAGGUAGAAUUCCCGGUGUAGCGGUGAAAUGCGUAGAGAUCGGGAGGAAUACCAGUGGCGAAGGCGGCCUUCUGGACUGACACUGACACUGAGGUGCGAAAGCGUGGGUAGCAAACAGGAUUAGAUACCCGGGUAGUC
This 465-nucleotide ribosomal RNA is filed under the name Vreelandella stevensii. RNAcentral describes it as "partial 16S ribosomal RNA". It matches the Rfam family "Bacterial small subunit ribosomal RNA", at positions 338 to 795 of the family's 1533-position model. Lineage: Bacteria; Pseudomonadati; Pseudomonadota; Gammaproteobacteria; Oceanospirillales; Halomonadaceae. The record is from RNAcentral.